This 336-nucleotide unclassified non-coding RNA is filed under the name soil metagenome. Its description in RNAcentral is "partial contains 5.8S ribosomal RNA, internal transcribed spacer 2, and large subunit ribosomal RNA". The stretch from base 1 to 120 matches the Rfam family "5.8S ribosomal RNA", at positions 35 to 154 of the family's 154-position model. The record is from RNAcentral.
GAUGAAGAACGCGGCGAAAUGCGAUAAGUAAUGUGAAUUGCAGAAUUCAGUGAAUCAUCGAAUCUUUGAACGCACAUUGCGCCCGCCAGUAUUCUGGCGGGCAUGCCUGUUCGAGCGUCAUUUCAACCAUCAAGCCCCCGGCUUGUGUUGGGGACCUGCGGCUGCCGCAGGCCCUGAAAAGCAGUGGCGGGCUCGCUGUCACACCGAGCGUAGUAGCAUACAUCUCGCUCUGGGCGUGCUGCGGGUUCCGGCCGUUAAACCACCUUCAUAACCCAAGGUUGACCUCGGAUCAGGUAGGAAGACCCGCUGAACUUAAGCAUAUCAAUAAGCGGAGGA